RNAcentral lists this unclassified non-coding RNA (337 nucleotides) under soil metagenome. Its description in RNAcentral is "partial contains 5.8S ribosomal RNA, internal transcribed spacer 2, and large subunit ribosomal RNA". The stretch from base 1 to 120 matches the Rfam family "5.8S ribosomal RNA", at positions 35 to 154 of the family's 154-position model. The record is from RNAcentral.
GAUGAAGAACGUAGCGAAAUGCGAUAAGUAAUGUGAAUUGCAGAAUUCAGUGAAUCAUCGAAUCUUUGAACGCACAUUGCGCCCGCCAGUAUUCUGGCGGGCAUGCCUGUCCGAGCGUCAUUUCAACCAUCAGGCCCCGGGCCUGUGUUGGGGACCUGCGGCUGACCGCAGGCCCCGAAAUCCAGUGGCGGGCUCGCUGACACACCGAGCGUAGUAGCAUACACCUCGCUCAGGGAGUGCCGCGGGUUCCGGCCGUAAAGCCGCCCUUCAAGCACAAGGUUGACCUCGGAUCAGGUAGGAAUACCCGCUGAACUUAAGCAUAUCAAUAAGCGGAGGA